RNAcentral lists this ribosomal RNA (550 nucleotides) under Neogloboquadrina dutertrei. RNAcentral's name for it is "bacterial SSU rRNA". The stretch from base 1 to 341 matches the Rfam family "Eukaryotic small subunit ribosomal RNA", at positions 1290 to 1501 of the family's 1831-position model. Lineage: Eukaryota; Foraminifera; Rotaliida; Globorotaliidae. The record is from RNAcentral.
GUUCUUAGUUCGUGGAGUGAUCUGUCUGCUUAAUUGCGUUUCACUAAGGGCCCAUAAAUUCAAGGUAUGUUAGCUAUCGUUUCUCAAUUGACCCCUUGUCUUCGAUAAGCGCGUGUCUUUUAGAGUUUAAACAUUGCGCAUGCUGUUGGGUCCUGAAAGCAACGAACGUGACCGCAACGUCUUAUUGCCUUUAUCUUGCUAUAUUUUAAUUUAAUUAAAAAUAGCUAACAGAGGCUAAUUUAAAAUUAGACGGACCGCUGUACUUUUCUUAAACCAGAGGAAGGUUGCGGCAAUAACAGGUCUGUGAUGCCCUUAGAUGUUCCGGGCUGCACACGUGCUACAAUGAUCAGUACAGUGAGCAUCUCAAUAUUAUACACCGUAUUAAGCGCUUGGUUGCGAUUAUUGGCUCAUUAUUGGGUCUUUUAAUUGUAUUUCCAAUGCGCGCGGUAAAGCCUGCUUCGAGAGUAAGUGGGUAAUCCAUUGGAAGUAAUGAUUUCUCUUUUUAUAGCACACCUAUAUACGGCAUUCAUUCCCGGGACGACUAGUUUCG